This 490-nucleotide ribosomal RNA is filed under the name uncultured bacterium. Its description in RNAcentral is "bacterial SSU rRNA". It matches the Rfam family "Bacterial small subunit ribosomal RNA", at positions 28 to 509 of the family's 1533-position model. The record is from RNAcentral.
GACGAACGCUGGCGGCGUGGAUUAGGCAUGCAAGUCGAACGGUAUCAUCCUUUCGGGGAUGAGAGAGUGGCGAACGGGUGAGUAACACGUAGGUGAUCUACCCUCAAGACGGGGACAACCCAGGGAAACUUGGGCUAAUACCGGAUGUGAGCUAUCGUGAGAUAGUUUGAAAGGUGGCUUCGGCUGCCGCUUGAGGAUGAGCCUGCGUCCUAUUAGUUAGUUGGUGAGGUAACGGCUCACCUAGGCAAUGAUAGGUAGGCGGCCUUAACGGGUGGUCGCCCACACUGGGAUUGAGAUACGGCCCAGACUCCUACGGGAGGCAGCAGUCGAGAAUAGUCUACAAUGGUCGGAAGACUGAUAGUGCGACGCCGCGUGAACGAUGAAUCCCUUCGGGGUGUAAAGUUCUUUUAUAUGUGAGCAGUGCUUCUUAUAUUAACAGUAUGGGGAGAGAGAUAUUAGCAUAUGAAUAAGCAACGGCUAACUCCGUGCC